UGGGGAAUCUUGCGCAAUGGGCGAAAGCCUGACGCAGCGACGCCGCGUGAGUGAUGAAGGCCUUCGGGUUGUAAAGCUCUGUGGGGAGAGAAGAAUAAGUGCGGGCUAAUACCCCGCAUGAUGACGGUAUCUCCUUAGCAAGCACCGGCUAACUCUGUGCCAGCAGCCGCGGUAAGACAGAGGGUGCAAACGUUGUUCGGAAUUACUGGGCGUAAAGCGAGUGUAGGCGGUUUGGUAAGUCGGAUGUGAAAGCCCCGGGCUCAACCCGGGAAGUGCAUUCGAUACUGCCAAGCUAGAGUAUCGGAGAGGUUGGUGGAAUUCUCGGUGUAGAGGUGAAAUUCGUAGAUAUUCGGAAGAACACCAGUGGCGAAGGCGGCUCACUGGACGUGUAUUGACGCUGAGGUACGAAAGCGUGGGGAGCAAACAGGAUUAGAUACCCGGGUAGUCCCUGAGCGGGCUGGCAAGGCGCAU
Molecule: ribosomal RNA, 471 nt
Filed under: uncultured bacterium
Lineage: Bacteria
Description: bacterial SSU rRNA
Rfam family: Bacterial small subunit ribosomal RNA
Source: RNAcentral